RNAcentral lists this ribosomal RNA (497 nucleotides) under uncultured bacterium. RNAcentral describes it as "partial 16S ribosomal RNA". It matches the Rfam family "Bacterial small subunit ribosomal RNA", at positions 28 to 523 of the family's 1533-position model. The record is from RNAcentral.
GAUGAACGCUGGCGGCGUGCUUAACACAUGCAAGUCGAACGAAGCACUCUACUUGAUCUCUUCGGAGUGAUUGUUUUGUGACUGAGUGGCGGACGGGUGAGUAACGCGUGGGUAACCUGCCUCAUACAGGGGGAUAACAGUUGGAAACGACUGCUAAUACCGCAUAAGCGCACAGCAUCGCAUGAUGCAGUGUGAAAAACUCCGGUUGUAUGAGAUGGACCCGCGUCUGAUUAGCCAGUUGGUGGGGUAACGGCCUACCAAAGCGACGAUCAGUAGCCGACCUGAGAGGGUGACCGGCCACAUUGGGACUGAGACACGGCCCAAACUCCUACGGGAGGCAGCAGUGGGGAAUAUUGCACAAUGGGGGAAACCCUGAUGCAGCGACGCCGCGUGAGCGAAGAAGUAUUUCGGUAUGUAAAGCUCUAUCAGCAGGGAAGAAGAAAUGACGGUACCUGACUAAGAAGCACCGGCUAAAUACGUGCCAGCCGCCGCAGUAA